GGGGUGCAAGACCUCGCCACACUGCUGAGUAACACGUAGUCAACCUGCCCUGAGGUGGGGAAUAAUCUCGCGAAAGUGAGGCUAAUGCCCCAUAAUCAAAGGAUACUGGAACGUUCCUUUGACAAAACCUACGGGGCCUCAGGAUGGGACUGCGGCGUAUCAGGCUGUUGUCAGGGUAAACACCUGACAAACCGAUAACGCGUAGGGGCUAUGAGAGUAGGAGCCUCCAGAUGCCCUCUGAGACAUGAGGGCAGGGCCUACGGGUCGCAGCAGGCGCGAAAACUUUCCAAUGCAUUAGCGUGUGAGAAGGGUAGCUUGAGUGGUGCAACUUAGUUGCACCUUUUGCCAUGUCUAGAAAGCAUGGCGAAUAAGGAGUGGGCAAUACGGGUGCCAGCCGCCGCGGUAAUACCCGAACUCCGAGUGGCCAUCUCGAUUAUUGGGCCUAGAGCGUUCGUAGCCGGCUCGGCAAGUCCCUGGUGAAAUCCGGCAGCUAACUGUCGGGCGUGCUGGGGAUACUACCGGGCUUGGGAACGGGAAAAGUGGGAGGUAUUCGGCGUGUAGGGGUUAAAUCCUUUAAUCCGCCGAGGGCCACCUGUGGCGAAGGCGUCCCACUGGAACGUGUCCGACGGUGAGGGACGAAAGCUGGGGGAGCGAUUGGGAUUAGAUACCCCAGUAGUCCCAGCUGUAAACUAUGCCCGUUUGGUGUCGCAUGACUUACGAGGUCUUGCGGUGCCGGAGUGUAGAUGUUAAACGGGGCCGCCUGGGGGAGUACGGUCGCAAGACUGAAACUUAAAGGGAAUUGGCGGGGAGAGCACACAAUGGGGUGGAGGCUGCCGGUUCAAUUUGGAUU
This 850-nucleotide ribosomal RNA is filed under the name uncultured archaeon. RNAcentral's name for it is "bacterial SSU rRNA". It matches the Rfam family "Archaeal small subunit ribosomal RNA", at positions 62 to 913 of the family's 1478-position model. The record is from RNAcentral.